Molecule: transfer RNA, 70 nt
Filed under: Marmota monax (woodchuck)
Lineage: Eukaryota; Metazoa; Chordata; Mammalia; Rodentia; Sciuridae
Description: tRNA.Ala
Rfam family: tRNA (bases 6-63)
About the family: Transfer RNA (tRNA) molecules are approximately 80 nucleotides in length. Their secondary structure includes four short double-helical elements and three loops (D, anti-codon, and T loops).
Source: RNAcentral
GGAUAUAGCUCAGUUGGCAGAGUGUAUGCCUCGCAUGCAUAAGGCUUUGGGUUCAAUCCCCAGCCACCCG